AUGGAGACCUGUAUGAAUGGCAUCACGAGGGCUUAACUGUCUCCCCUCCCCAGUCAAUGAAAUUGAUCUCCCCGUGCAGAAGCGGGGAUAAUACCAUAAGACGAGAAGACCCUAUGGAGCUUUAGACGUCAGAGCAGCCCAUGUAAAGCACCCCUUAACAAAGGAAAAAACCAAAUGAAGCCUGCCCUAAUGUCUUUGGUUGGGGCGACCGCGGGGAAAUACAAAACCCCCAUGUGGAGUAGGAAUACACAUUCCUAAACCCAAGAGCUCCCGCUCUAAUGAACAGAAAUUCUGACCAAUAAGAUCCGGCACACGCCGAUCAACGGACCGAGUUACCCUAGGGAUAACAGCGCAAUCCCCUUAAAGAGCCCUUAUCGACAAGGGGGUUUACGACCUCGAUGUUGGAUCAGGACAUCCUAAUGGUGCAGCCGCUAUUAAGGGUUCGUUUG
RNAcentral lists this ribosomal RNA (449 nucleotides) under Pagrus major (red seabream). Its description in RNAcentral is "partial 16S ribosomal RNA". It matches the Rfam family "Bacterial large subunit ribosomal RNA", at positions 1980 to 2579 of the family's 2925-position model. The record is from RNAcentral. Lineage: Eukaryota; Metazoa; Chordata; Actinopteri; Spariformes; Sparidae.